AGUUGAUCAUGGCUCACGAACGAACGCUGGCGGCGCGUCUUAAGCAUGCAAGUCGAACGGCGAGAGGUAGCAAUACCUCCUAGGAGUGGCGGACUGGUGAGUAACACGUGGGUGACAUACCCUUCAGAUGGGGAUAGCUAUUAGAAAUAGUAGAUAAUACCGAAUACGAGCACAGGGGUUAGAGAUCUGUGAGGAAAGGAGCUAAGGCUCCGCUGAAGGAAUGGCCUGCGGCCCAUUAGCUAGUGGUGAGGUAAGAGCCCACCAAGGCGAUGAUGGGUAUCCGGCCUUAGAGGGUGAACGGACACAUUGGGACUGAGAUACGGCCCAGACUCCUACGGGAGGCAGCAGCUAAGAAUAUUCCGCAAUGGACGAAAGUCUGACGGAGCGACGCCGCGUGGAUGAAGAAGGCCGGAAGGUUGUAAAAUCCUUUUGAAACUGAAGAAUAAGCGUUGUAGGGAAUGACAGCGUGGUGACAGUAGGUUUUGAAUAAGCAACGGCUAAUUACGUGCCAGCCGCUGC
RNAcentral lists this ribosomal RNA (519 nucleotides) under uncultured bacterium. RNAcentral's name for it is "bacterial SSU rRNA". It matches the Rfam family "Bacterial small subunit ribosomal RNA", at positions 10 to 518 of the family's 1533-position model. The record is from RNAcentral.